GAAUAAACAACUGCUGCAUGAAUGUUUCCAUUCUCUCCUGCCUGGGAAAGAGGGGCUUUACCACGUCACCUGCUUCCCGACCCUUUCUCCAGAGUGUGUCGUGUGGGCUCUGGUGUUGCAGAAUCAGGAGGAGCGCGGAGAGAAGGAGAAGGGGUGUGUGGCUACAGCCGGAAGAGGAGUUUGGGAAGCAGGAAUGUGGAAGAGAAGAGGUCCAGGAUCUGAUGUGCUGAAAAGUCUGUCUUACAUGAAAGCCUCCCAAGACACGGACUUCUUCUAAGGAAAACUGCCCUGCCUCCAGCCCCUGUAAGCUUGUGGUUCAGUCUCCCUGGAUACAGUUGCCUUGAGGCAAAGGUGACCCAGUGGCAGCCAAUUCACAGAAGGGCCAGCCCAGGCUAACAAGGAAAUAUUUUCUUUUGAAGUAAUCUCUACACCCAACAUGGGGCUUGAACUUACAACUCUGAGAUCAACUCCGUCUCUACUGAUGGAACCCUCCAGGCACCCCUUGGUAAAACACCCUAAAGAGUUUAAACAGGAAAUGAGAAAUCGCUGUGGAGAGAACAAGUGAAGUGUAAAUACAGAACAAAGAGAGAGAACAUAUGAAAAGCAUUAAGCAAGAAUGGAGGAUAGAAUGAAAAAACUGAAUAAACAUUAACAAGAAUCCCAGGAGAAAGGAGAGUGAAUGGAGGAAAGAGAACAUUUGAAGAGAAUUUUCCAGAACCGAGGAACAACAUGAAUCCAGAGAGGAUUACAACAUGUACCAGGCAGAAUGAACACACAGAAACUCACACUAGACCCAUUUCAAGGAAUAAGAAAGGCCAGGAGAGGAUCUUGCCACCAAGAACAGAGAGAAGCGAAAUCACCAGUGAAGGCGUGACACGUAGACUACCUCAGACUUCCCAACAACAAUGAUGGAAGCCAUAGGCAGUGGAGUCAUCUUGAGGGGAAAAACCCUCUCAACCUGCAAUCGCACACACAGAAAUAUUAUUCCCAGUCGAGGGUGAAAUAAAGACAUUUUCAGAAGUCAGACUCCAGGGUUCAUGCUUCUUCCUCUGGAUUAUUACUGGUAGUUCUCAGCUACUUCCAGAUCUACCAUCGUACUUCAAGAAUUCCCUUCCCGGCCAUUGUUCUUGAUUCUUCUAUGUCCUCCUGCCUUAGCUAUUUCUCCUGAGGUCCGAGCACGUUCGUGAAGAGAACACGCGUGUGCUUGUUUUUGAGGGAGGGCCUGGCCUAAAGCCUGGGGGAAUUUUCUGUCAGGAAAGGCUCCAAGGAAGCCAAGGCUUCGCUGGGGAACCCUCCUCCCAACAGUCUGGGACUGAGAAGGAGCUCAAGCCAAGCAGAGGGAGGCAGUCACGGAACAUACCACAAAGGCCCCCAAAGUCCCUUCUAGAAAACUUCCAGGCUCCUAAGAGCCCACCACUUGGGGUUGGCAUUUCUUGAAGGACUUUUCUGGUCCUCCACAGAAGAGGCAAGCUUGUCCUCUCAGAGGGGGGGAGGAAAUUCAGGAGCCAAACAAGGGGACAAAUGGAGAGGUUGCAGAGAAAAAGGGAGUUCCGACAAGCCAGUGGAAGGGCCGCCCUGUCCCUCCCAGGACCCGUAUCUCAGCCUCCCCAGUAAGCAUGGGGUUGAAAGAGGAGGAGGCCGGACAAAAGCCAACAAGACGAAGGUGGAAGGACCGUUGAGCUCCGUCUCUCCCAGGGAAGGACCAGAGACAGAUGCCACCAGCCCCUGCCACACUACCCAGAGGUGACAGUGAAGGGAUCAGAGAGGGGUGACAAGAAGGAGAUGGCUCCUCCACCUCUAUUUCAGUCCAGCCACCCAGGGAAUACCUUUCUGCUUCUGAGGAACGGCACAGUCGGCCUUCUCUGCCUGCCCCAUCCUUCUCUGCAUCAACACCUGACCUCUGGAACCUUCGAGGCUCCCUGGGAAGUCUUGGCUAGCUGUCCACUCCAGCAGAGCUGACAGGGAAUUUUUGACACUCUUUUGUAACUUUAUAUGUUCAUAUCUUUCUCUCGUCAUGUGCUCCUAGAAAGCAGGGACUCCACUGUCCUGUCAUUGUAGUCCCCAUACGCGGCCCAUCAGGACACUCAGCAAAUGUUGCUGAAACAGAUGAAUGAGGGAGUGAAAUGCUUAUUGACCUCUACCAUGAGACUGACACCCCUAGACCCUGUGGAUCUAUCAGGCUGUGAGGACAUUGUUCCUGAUCACAAGAAAUGCCCGGUCCGGUUAAGAGGCACAGAUGCCACCGCCCCCCACUGCUCCCACCAGAUGAGUUGGAACUAGAGGCAUCACUUGUCUGCUCUGUCCUGUGAGUCGGCCACUGCCCGGCUUUUAUUUUUAUCCUGGUAGAAAGGGCUUAAAAGCCGCUGGGGAUAUGUGAUAUGUGAUAUGUGAUCCUGUUUCCUCCUGUCCAUUUCCACAGAGAUAUUUUCUUUUUUUCUACCCAUAUUUUUGAGGUGGGUGAUCACAAUCUCAGUUGUACAGUUUUAUAGCAGAUAAGGUCCUUAUGGCUGCUUUGGCUGAUUGGCACCCGUUUUUUAAAAUUUUCAUUCCAGUAGAGUUAACAUAUAGUGUUCUGUUCAGAUCAGGUGCUCAGUGCCCAUCUCGGUACAUGUGCUCUCGAUCCCUUUAACCCAUCUCACCUGUCCGCCCACCCACCCCCACUCUGGGGACCACCAGUGUGUUCUGCAUGCAGACAUCUUUAAAUAGAAAGACCUAGGUCCUCCAAGUUUGGAGAUGGGUGGGUGGGGGAGCCAGGGAGGAGGAGCUGGAAAGGCCACUUCCCAAGCUUCUCUGGGGUAGGGUAGGCGGUGGCCCAUGGAGGAGGAGAGAAAAUCUGACCAGGGCCCUGUGCCCCUGAUGAAGAAAUGCGGGGCUUCUCAGGGAACCAGCCUGGGAAGAGGCAGUGCUCCCAAUGGGCGAUUUUUAGUCUGGGUGCAGGUCCAAGGCUGCUCUCCACAGCUUUGCUAUUUGCUGGGGUUGAGGGGGCUGUGAAUGGAAGGAGCUGUCUUCCUCCUGCUCAGACCCCAGGAACCCUGAGACCAGACAUGUCCCCCAGGCUGCCGCACGACAUCCGUUUGGGCCCUCCAUGUUGCCGAGCUCCAGGCUGCAGCUCCAGGACUGAACUGUGAGCCCAUCACGACCCCUUCUGUCCUCAGAUAGGAAUGUGCACGGGCCUGAAGCAGCAGCCCAGGGUUGCAGAGGAACCAGACGCCCAAGGGCAGCACGGGUGGGAGAUCUCGGGGUUAAGCCUGGCCUGAGCGGAUGCACACUGUCUUCUGAAGGUUGAGAUGAGGCACCAAGGUCAGGAGGCCCAGCCAGGGCCACAGAGGUCAAGAAGGAGGCAGAAGCAUGGCCUCAAUUUCCCCUAUGGAAAAACUGGUGUCAGGACACAGGAUGGAAAAAUUAAUGUGUCUCCCAGAUCCUGGCUCUGUUAUUUUUCUUCUGAUCUCAGACGCUUCCCAAAUGACUUGUCCAGGCCCAGCCAGUCCCUCAGCAGAGCCUAGGCAGAUAAGGUUAGGGCUGAGAGGCCAAAACUACCAACAGGACUUGGGAGCCCCAAGGAACCCAUUUGUCUGCUUUCUGGAAUGUGUCAUAUAUCAACCAGGUUGGCUCAACAGGUGGCCUCGCCUGGUCUCCACUUCAGCAGGGGCCACGCACAGUCUUGGGUCCCGGGUCUGGGCCCCGGGGCAGGAGGGAUUAAAGCCACUGGAGCCCAGACCCCUGCGUCUGUGCAUCAAGGCCCUGGCUGUUCAUUUGCCUGACCUCGGCCAGGCUUGUGACAAGAAGCUUUCUGCCUUGCCUUUGA
Mustela lutreola (European mink) is the source of this 3805-nucleotide long non-coding RNA. RefSeq lists it as uncharacterized. NCBI's taxonomy places the organism in Eukaryota, Metazoa, Chordata, Mammalia, Carnivora, Mustelidae. The record is from RefSeq and is a predicted model, not a curated record. The transcript has 5 exons.